RNAcentral lists this long non-coding RNA (305 nucleotides) under Linum usitatissimum (flax). RNAcentral describes it as "long non-coding RNA (LUSI_LNC003290)". Lineage: Eukaryota; Viridiplantae; Streptophyta; Magnoliopsida; Malpighiales; Linaceae. The record is from RNAcentral.
CUACACAUACUUCAGCUACCGAGACAACCCGUCAACCAUCUCCCUCCCUUACGCGCUCCUCUCCUCCCAGUCCGUGUCCGUGUGGGACAACGGCCUCGGCUACACCAACCUCUUCGACGCGAUGCUCGACUCGCUCUACUCGGCCGUGGAGCGCCUGGGAGGGUGGUCCGUGGAGGUGGUGGUGUCCGAGAGCGGGUGGCCCUCGGCCGGAGCAGGGGCCGCGACCACGAUGGAGAACGCGCGCGUGUUCUACACGAACUUGGUCCAGCAGGUGAAGCGCGGGAGCCCCAAGAGGCCCAAUAAGG